RNAcentral lists this ribosomal RNA (765 nucleotides) under uncultured Streptococcus sp. RNAcentral's name for it is "bacterial SSU rRNA". It matches the Rfam family "Bacterial small subunit ribosomal RNA", at positions 28 to 776 of the family's 1533-position model. The record is from RNAcentral. Lineage: Bacteria; Bacillati; Bacillota; Bacilli; Lactobacillales; Streptococcaceae.
GAUGAACGCUGGCGGCGUGCCUAAUACAUGCAAGUAGAACGCUGAAGCUUGGUGCUUGCACCGAGCGGAAGAGUUGCGAACGGGUGAGUAACGCGUAGGUAACCUGCCUCUUAGCGGGGGAUAACUAUUGGAAACGAUAGCUAAUACCGCAUAAAAGUCGAUAUCGCAUGAUAUUGAUUUGAAAGGUGCAACUGCAUCACUAAGAGAUGGACCUGCGUUGUAUUAGCUAGUUGGUGAGGUAACGGCUCACCAAGGCGACGAUACAUAGCCGACCUGAGAGGGUAAUCGGCCACACUGGGACUGAGACACGGCCCAGACUCCUACGGGAGGCAGCAGUAGGGAAUCUUCGGCAAUGGACGGAAGUCUGACCGAGCAACGCCGCGUGAGUGAAGAAGGUUUUCGGAUCGUAAAGCUCUGUUGUAAGAGAAGAACGAGUGUGAGAGUGGAAAGUUCACACUGUGACGGUAACUUACCAGAAAGGGACGGCUAACUACGUGCCAGCAGCCGCGGUAAUACGUAGGUCCCGAGCGUUAUCCGGAUUUAUUGGGCGUAAAGCGAGCGCAGGCGGUUAGAUAAGUCUGAAGUUAAAGGCUGUGGCUUAACCAUAGUACGCUUUGGAAACUGUUUAACUUGAGUGCAGAAGGGGAGAGUGGAAUUCCAUGUGUAGCGGUGAAAUGCGUAGAUAUAUGGAGGAACACCGGUGGCGAAAGCGGCUCUCUGGUCUGUAACUGACGCUGAGGCUCGAAAGCGUGGGGAGCAAACAGG